AACUUGCGGAGGGAUCAUUACUGAGUUUACAACUCCCAGACUCAAUGUGAACGUUACCAAACUGUUGCCUCGGCGGGAUGUCUGCCCCGGGUGCGUCGCAGCCCCGGACCAAGGCGCCCGCCGGAGGACCAACCAAAACUCUUAUUGUAUACCCCCUCGCGGGUUUUUUUAUAAUCUGAGCCUUCUCGGCGCCUCUCGUAGGCGUUUCGAAAAUGAAUCAAAACUUUCAACAACGGAUCUCUUGGUUCUGGCAUCGAUGAAGAACGCAGCGAAAUGCGAUAAGUAAUGUGAAUUGCAGAAUUCAGUGAAUCAUCGAAUCUUUGAACGCACAUUGCGCCCGCCAGUAUUCUGGCGGGCAUGCCUGUCCGAGCGUCAUUUCAACCCUCGAACCCCUCCGGGGGGUCGGCGUUGGGGAUCGGCCCUGCCUUGGCGGUGGCCGUCUCCGAAAUACAGUGGCGGUCUCGCCGCAGCCUCUCCUGCGCAGUAGUUUGCACACUCGCAUCGGGAGCGCGGCGCGUCCACAGCCGUUAAACACCCAACUUCUGAAAUGUGACCUCGGAUC
This 562-nucleotide ribosomal RNA is filed under the name Trichoderma harzianum. RNAcentral's name for it is "eukaryotic LSU rRNA". The stretch from base 222 to 375 matches the Rfam family "5.8S ribosomal RNA". Lineage: Eukaryota; Fungi; Ascomycota; Sordariomycetes; Hypocreales; Hypocreaceae. The record is from RNAcentral.